AAGAGGGGGCGGGGGGAGAAGCGGAAGUCGGAACACGCCAUCAACUCCAACAAAAAUGUAAAAAAAAAAAUACUUUUUAAAAAAAAAUGCGAUUUGAUUUGAAUUUUAAAAGUUAAGAAAGUGCAAUACAAUGACACCCACAACAACAGUUCAUGGUUUUUACCCGUGGAACCUAUGCUCAGCUAUUUUCAGAAUAAAUAAUCUAUUCACAAAAUCGAAGUUAGUUACUAGCUCGCUGGUGCGAUUUAAUAAGCACAGUUUGCCUUGACCUCCGAUGACCAGUGAAAGCUGUCCGUAUGCUCACCCGGAGAAUUCACUGGAGCCUCUGCACUACACCAAAAGUGGAAAAUAGUGGAGCAUAGCAAAAGAAUAGCUGCAUGUGAUUACUACUACUACACCGUGGCAGAAAUCUGACCUUAAUAUGUUUUUCCGCCUCAGGACAGAAAGUUGCACGGCCAUAAGAAACCGGAACGGAACACCUCCUAAACAGCCAAUCGGCAUCCUCGCUCAUCACCAGAAGACUGCAAAGGUUGAAACAAGCAGGCGGGGGCUGACAAUCAGACUGGCACAACAGGAAAAGAAUCAACACAAUGUGGAUUUGGAGCUGCUUGAGUCCAAUUGACAGCGUGUAUUUACCGCCUGGCUGCCAAGGCGAUGUGACUUUCACGCUGUAUUUGUGGCCCGCCGUUGGAGGCGCCCCCUCCGGACAUUGGAGAACAACGGCUGCUUCCGGAUAGAUUACAAAUGAGGAGGCGGAAGGACAGAGAAGGCCUCUUCUCUCCUGUCACUCAAGCCUCCGAUGCAGCUAGUGUGUGAAGGGCAGAGGCGGUGGAUUAUGGGACCGUGUCACGGCAUCUUUUAGAGUUUUUGGCUGCUCUAUGCACCCUCGGGACUCGCACUUCAUUGAGUCAGUAUUGACAUCUCUGUGUGGCAGCUUGGAAUCUCUAUUAAGGCGAACACACGGAGCCAUGCAGCGGGACACUACGACGGCGUGUCGGAGCCGGCCACACAAGUGACGUCCUCCCACCGCAUCCGCGCCGCAGUCGUCUCAACGCGAAGGAAUAUCGCGCAAGGCUUCCUCCUCGCGAGACGGACGCCGACCUGCGUCGUCAAGGUGGAGAGAUGAGCACAUGCGCUGAACAAAGGCGGCAGAAUUAAAACAAGAAGAUGCCCAAGUUGAGACGCUGAAGCAGGUCAGUUUGCGCCGAUCGCUUUGAAUGCUAAUGCUACUGGUGCACAGUUCAGUCAAGGCCAAAAAACCUUCACCUUGU
This is a long non-coding RNA of Hippocampus comes (tiger tail seahorse), 1271 nucleotides long. RefSeq lists it as uncharacterized. The transcript is spliced from 10 exons. Lineage: Eukaryota; Metazoa; Chordata; Actinopteri; Syngnathiformes; Syngnathidae. The record is from RefSeq and is a predicted model, not a curated record.